UAUAUAUAUAUGUUUAUUAUAUGCUACAGUAAAUUUAAAAAAAAAAUUGAAAAGAUCUGGGCUAAAAACAAAUGAAAAAGAGACAGUGGACAACCGACAGAGAAGCUUGUCGGAGAUGAAAAAAAAAAUGAAAAAAGGACCGAUUCCCGUCGCCGGUCGUUUUCAGAGGGAAAGAAGAAGAAGAUGGAAGAAGUAGAUGAAGGAGAAAGAAAAAACAAGAAGAAAGGAGAAGAAAACAUACCUGGGUAUCUCGGUCGUCGGUCGUCGGAGAAGUAGCAAAACCCUAAUUUCUUGUCACUGAACUUCUGAAGAGAAGAGGGGUCGUUGGUCUUUCUUUUUUUUUAAUUUCAGCAACUGGUUGAGGGUUUCUUUUAAUUUCAUCAACUGGGCGAUCGAUUUUUUCAACAAAUCGAUCGCUUCCGUCGCUUCGAAUCGCCUCGCUUUUCACAGGUAAGCGCUCGCUUCUGUUGUUCGCGUCGCCUGAAGGAGAAAAAAGCGAUGUAGUCCCGCUUCGCGUCGCUUCUCGCUUUAAGCGAUGAAGCGAUCGCUUUUGAUAACACUGGGAAUGAAGAUAUUGAGGAGAAGGUGGGCAUGACUUCCAAUGGAUGACAAGAUGCGGGAAGCGAGGCUCGUGGCUCGGGCAUGUACAAAGGAGGAGCUCAGAUGCUCUGGUAAGGAGGUGCGAACGGUUGGCGUUGGUGGCUACGAGGAGAGAUAGAGGGCUGCCUAAGAAGUAUUGUGGAGAGAUGAUCAUGCGGGAUAUGGCGAGGCUUCAGAUCUUCGAGGACAUAGCCUUUGAAAUUAGGAAGCUGUGGAGGUUGAGCAUUAAGGUAGUAGGUUAGGAGGUAGUUGAGCAUAUUUCUAAUUCGUACAAGUGUGAGGCUAUUUUGAUGGGAUUUUGUCUUAGACUGCUAGUGGUCAGUGUUGUGUUCGCAUUACUCUUCCAUUUUCAUAGUGCCGGGCAUUAUUUACUGGUUAUUCUAUUUACUGGUUCUUAUGAUAUUAUUAUUUCUAUAGUUUUUGUUGAUGGUACUGAUAUAUUGUCUCUUUUCGUCUUUUUAAGCCGAUGGUCUAUCGGAAACAUUCUCUCUACUUUCUCGGGUAGAGAUAAGGUCUGCGUACAUACUACCCUCCUCCCUAGAUCCCACUUAUGGGAUUUUACUGGGUCGUUGUUGUUGUAUAAAAGAAAGAUAAGACAUAUUGUUGUUGUUUAAUGGAGAUCUCUCCAACCAUCUCUUGUUAGAAAAAUUUGAAGUAUAGCAAAGUAGCCAAAAGAGUAUGGGUACUAUCUCAAGUGACUAUUCAUAUAGCUUCUAACAAUUCAGUAGUGCGGAUUAUUCUCGAACCCUUCAUACAGGAAUCCCUGAGGCAAAAGAGGUGCUACUGAGAAAUAGGUUCAACCUGAGUUGUAGUUUGUGUUUUGUAAAGAACAAAAUGCAACUGGGUCUUUUUCACUCUUAAGACAUUUAUUCUUGGGUGUUCCAGGCUUUGCUGCAUCUUUAUUACCCCUUUUAACUGUAGGGGAAUUGUGACACAAUUUAGUACAUUCUAUAGGGUCAUGAGGUAGAUUACAAUGCUGGACACAAUCUAUCAUUUGGUGUCUUCUUUGAUUGUUUGAAUCCUAGGCUACACACCAUGCAAUCCACGAUAUAGUUUGGAGGUUUAGAAGAAACACUCACCUUUUUCAUGCUUGUGAGUUACUUCUAUUGCACAUAUUUUUUAUGAGUAAGGUAAAAUUUUAUAACUGUAUCAACAACAAGAGAGUGCUGGUAUGAACAUCUGAGCACAUCAAAAGUGUCUCGCACAGGUUGUGAAGAGAACUAAUAAAGUCAACCAUGGCCUCUACAUUGUAACGGUAUCUAUAUCUACCAUGUCGAUCCAAUAAGAAUUUAAAGAAAUACAAUUAAACUUAAGACUAGAAACAUUCACUUUUUUGACUUCAAAAAUUCUCAAGUUUCUCUCUUACUAUAUAAUCCACCAUAUUGCCGCUGUUAUUGCGUUCCAAAUUCUUUGAUGCUUACCCCUCAAGCCUCUUUUCUGCCGACCUUGCAAAAAUUCCACUGUCUCUUGGCAUUGUCCACUUCAACCCCAACCAAGAGUCAUUCCAAAAGCUAAUCGUUCCUUCCAUCACACAGCUUGAAGUAUGUUUUGCCUACGACGUCAUACUAAUAAGCACAUGUUAAGAUGAUUUAAAGGUUGUAGGUUCAGUUUUUACACUCAACACUAUAUUUAGUAGUUGUACCCCGUGGGGCCCUUAAUAACACAAUGUUUUCUUGAUUAUUCUCCAAACACCCCCCUCCUCCCCUCCCCCCAAAAUAUAAUAAUUUGGCCAAACAGGUAAAUGAUCUCUUGUGUCCCUUAAAUGUUUCAGAAACUCUUUAGAGAUAUGAUUUUUUAAGUAUUUCUCCUCUUCCCUUUCUUCUUUUGAAUGCGGAUAUAAGUUCACACUAGAUAAAAAGGAGGGAUAUCUGCACUAACAUUUUCUAGUGUCAUUUCUUACUGAUAAAUGCCAAUGCAUAUUUAUGCAUGUGUAAAUAUAUAAACAUAGUUUAGAGGACUAGUCCGUGCCCUGUUCCGUUGUUGAUAUACAUUAUCAUAUUAGAUACGAUGGUUGGAUCUCUUUUGAUGUUAUAGCGGCUUACAGCAUUAGCAGUUUUUUCUUUUAAGAACUCUCAUAUGUGCUUUCUCAGGCUUGUCAUAAAUGCAACAUCACACCUUAUUACACUGUAUGAAAUGAACCAUUAUCAUUUGUGGUUCAAUUGUUGGGUGCUUGCAGGCCUCAGGUAACAAUUGCCACUGCAAUAAUAUUUUGUCAUCGGUUCUUUCUUCGGCAAUCUCAUACCAGGAAUGAUAGGAGGGUAAGUAACUUUCCGUUUCCGUUUUACCAUUUAUUGCAUCUAUGGCUGCUUGACCGUUUGUAUAUAUUUGUUAAAUGAAACCAGUGAUUGUAU
This 2951-nucleotide long non-coding RNA is filed under the name Nicotiana benthamiana. RNAcentral describes it as "long non-coding RNA (NBEN_LNC031987)". The record is from RNAcentral. Lineage: Eukaryota; Viridiplantae; Streptophyta; Magnoliopsida; Solanales; Solanaceae.